Molecule: ribosomal RNA, 468 nt
Filed under: uncultured bacterium
Lineage: Bacteria
Description: partial 16S ribosomal RNA
Rfam family: Bacterial small subunit ribosomal RNA
Source: RNAcentral
GACGAACGCUGGCGGCGUGCUUAACACAUGCAAGUCGAACGGAAAGGCCCUGCUUUUGUGGGGUGCUCGAGUGGCGAACGGGUGAGUAACACGUGAGUAACCUGCCCUUGACUUUGGGAUAACUUCAGGAAACUGGGGCUAAUACCGGAUAGGAGCUCCUGCUGCAUGGUGGGGGUUGGAAAGUUUCGGCGGUUGGGGAUGGACUCGCGGCUUAUCAGCUUGUUGGUGGGGUAGUGGCUUACCAAGGCUUUGACGGGUAGCCGGCCUGGGAGGGUGGCCGGCGACAUUGGGACUGAGGUAGGGCCCAGACGCCUACGGGAGGCAGCAGUGGGGAAUAUUGCACAAUGGGCGGAAGCCUGAUGCAGCAACGCCGCGUGCGGGAUGACGGCCUUCGGGUUGUAAACCGCUUUCGCCUGUGACGAAGCGUGAGUGACGGUAAUGGGUAAAGAAGCACCGGCUAACUACGUG